RNA transcript from Stegodyphus dumicola, 2550 nucleotides. RefSeq lists it as uncharacterized. NCBI's taxonomy places the organism in Eukaryota, Metazoa, Arthropoda, Arachnida, Araneae, Eresidae. The record is from RefSeq and is a predicted model, not a curated record.
GCAAAAAGCCCGAAGAAAGCUGUAAAGGCAGCGAAACCUGACUCCAAAAGACUUCAUUGCUCCUGAAGAAGAGAGUCCUAUGUGUGAGCGCUUUAGAUAUAGGUCAUCCAAAAAAUUUAUGAAAUAUAGAGAAUAUACGUCAAAAAGAAAUUGGAACUUUAACAUUAUUGUGUUAGAAUUCAGAUAUAUAAAAAGAAAAUUAAAUGCUAAUUUUAAUUUAACUCAAAAAGAAUGAGGUGAAAUUAUAUGACAGCCUAAAAAAAAACUUCAGAUAAGUGGCCGCGCGCCAAUGCCAAUGAUUUCAAAUUACGGAGUACCUGCCUCGCAGAUCCAGACGCGCAUUUUUAUGCUUUAUACGAAAAAAGUGUCGGUUCGCCCAAUAAGAAGAAAUUAUUAGGAGGGUGAUAGAAUUACAAACAAUUAAUGUAAUUUAAAAUCGAAAAGAUCAGGUUGCAUUUCAAUAGCAAUACUGAUUGAAUGAAUGAAAAGAGUUCUGGAGUACAAGAAAUUUUAUUCUGUAAAAUAAACUGACUCCGCAUCCGGAAACAGGAAAAGAAAAAUGAAUAUAAUUUUCGGUCGUUGUCGAAGCCGUACGGAACGCUAUUUAAUCACUGUGUUAAUUAAGAAAUAAAGAAUUUGAGUUCACUAUACAGAUAUUAAAAAAUUUAUAUUUAAGUAGAGACAAAAAUUAAUUAGUUAACUACUGCUGUCAUCAUAAAUGUAGCAUAUGGAUUCGAUGCUGAGCUUAUGUGACGUUAUUUGUUAGUGCUCCUCUUCUGUGUGGAUCGCCAUUUUCACGCGACCCUCGUGCUCUUCUUUUAUCUCUAUACAUAUUUUGAUGUGCGCUAAUUAUUGAGGAUUUUAUUUUGAACUGUGAUGAACUUCUAAGUGUUUCCGUUGGAUUAUGUUUGUGAAAUUAAGAUGGCGGGAAAUGAUUUUCCCCCCAUUAACUUUCGAGGAUGCGAAAGCUGUUGCUCGUCGCCUCGUGUAUUCUUUGGUGUCGGGUUUGCCGGAUGAACUUGUUAAAUACGCUCAUGAAAAACUGAAUAGCGAAUGUAACGACUUAUUAUUGAAAGAACCGACUGACCUCAAGGAUUACGUAAAAAUUCGCCACGCUCUCUUUACACAGAAAACAAUGUCGCCUGGCAUAGAACAAUACCAGAAAAUUAGGACUAUUUGUGAAGAGCUAACAAUUUUAUUUCAAGAUAAGUGCAAAGCAUUUUGUGAAUUACAUCAUAAUAUUGUUAAACUUAAUUAUGGUGGACUGGUUCUUAAUUUGCAUGAUGAAUAUAAUGUUAAUGAAAAUUCUAGUGCUGUUUGCAAUGUUGAUGUUAUUGAUACCCCUAAUCAGGUGAAGACUAAUAGUGACUGUGUUAUCAUUAUGGAGGAUAUUCAUACCCGUAAUGUUAAUAUUUCUGAUAAUAAUUCUCUUAUGACUUCUAAGCUUAAACGGCCGUCAAAAAAUCGAGUAAAAAAAACGGCCAGACCAUCUAAAUUGAUAAAGAAUAAUGUUGAAAUUCCCCUCAGUAAUAAAUUUCAUGAAUUACCCAAAGAUGUUUCGGACAGCAAUGAAAAUAAUAUGUUGAAAAUGUUGCCUAAGCCCAACCACCAAUUCAGUAUUCAGAUUUCAAGAAAAAUAUGAAGCAAGAUACGGGAUUAAAUUUCGCGGGCAAGGUUUGGGGGUGAUUUUUUGGAAAAUCUUUCCCAAAACAGAAGAUGCUCAUCGAGGUAUAACCAAUUAUAACGGCAGAUGUAAAAUUGAUUAUUAUCUCAUUACCAAAAAAUAUGACCGACUAAUUAAAGUACUAGCCAGAGGCCUUCUCAUAGACUGUUCGAUAGAUGAAAUUAAACAAGAAUUAAGUAACAUGGGGUUCAAAGUUAGGAAAAUUGCACAAAUGCAUAGACUAAAAGGUUAGAAGUAGUUAGGUGUUGCAACUGCCUCAAAGUAGGACACACCGCCAAUUUUAGGGGUUGUCCUAAAUUUCCAAAACCCAACAAAACUAACUCCAGACCUAUGUAAAUUGUACUGGAAAACUGAUAAUAUGUAAUAGAUCCCGUAGUACUAAUGAGUUAUCUUAUGCAAAUGUAACAAGUGGAAAUACGAUUAUGUUAGACACCCAGUCAAUACAAGUUGUAUUGAUGUAAACAGUACUAAUACCAGUAGCCUCAACUUAAAGCUCCCUAGGAGAAGUUUACAAGCUUCUAAAGGAAAUAGAUAGGUUGGAUGGAAAUUAAAGCAGUUGGAUGAGAACGAGCUGGUGACAAGAAAAAGAGGAAAAAGCGCAGGAAGGAAUCUUUCGCUAUUUAUAUCUACAAGGUUUUGAAACAGGUUCAUCCCGACAUUGGUAUUUCCAGCAAAGCAAUGUCCAUCACGAAUUCCUUCGUUAACGACAUCUUUGAGAGAAUUGCAGCAGAAUUUUUUCGUUUAGCUCAUUACAAUAAGAGGAGUACUAUCACUAGGCAAGAAACUCAAACUGCAGUACGACUGUUGUUGCCUGAUGAACUGGCAAAACAUGCUGUUGGGGAAGGUACCAAAGCUAUCACCAAGUA